UCCCAGUGAAAACGCCCUUAAAUUUCCUACUAGGAACAAGGAGCUGGUAUCAGGCACAACCCCUGCCCAAGACACCUAGCUAUGCCACACCCACAAGGGAUUUCAGCAGUAAUUAACAUUGAACAUCAGCGACAGCUCGAUUCAGUUAGGAUACAUAGAGCCGGCUAAUCUGGUGCCAGCCGCCGCGGUUACACCACGUGGCUCAAAUUGAUUUCCAUCGGCGUAAAGCGUGGUUAGAGCUAAUCUAUAUUGAAGUCAAAUUUAAAUUAAGCCGUGACACGCUUGUUUUUUAGAAGCUCAAAAACGAAAGUUACUUCAAUUAAAUCAACUUGAAUACACGACAGCUAGAGCACAAACUGGGAUUAGAUACCCCACUAUGUCCAGCCGUAAACUUUAAAUUACCCCAUACACCGCCAGGGAACUACGAGCUAAGCUUAAAACCCAAAGGACUUGACGGUACCCCAUGUCCCUCUAGAGGAGCCUGUCCUAUAAUCGAUAACCCCCGUUUAACCUCACCAUUUUUAGCUAAUCAGUUUGUAUACCUCCGUCGCCAGCUUACCACGUGAGCGAAGUAUAGUGAGCUUAAUGUCCACACGCCAACACGUCAGGUCAAGGUGCAACAAAUAAAAUGGAAAGAGAUGGGCUACACUUUCUAAUGUAGAAAAUACGAAAAACUAUUUAUGAAAUUCUAGUUUGAAGGCGGAUUUAGUAGUAAAAAGAAACCAGAGUGUUCUUUUUAACAAGGCCCUGGGGUGUGUACACACCGCCCGUCACCCUCUUCAAAGCUAUUUAUUAGUUGUUAACAAUAGAAGAGGCAAGUCGUAACAUGGUAAGUAUACCGGAAGGUGUGCUUGGAAUCAAAGUAUAGCUUAACUUAAAGCAUUUCGCUUACACCGAAAACAUAUUUGUUAAAUUCAAAUUACUUUGAGCUAAUAAUCUAGCCUCCCAAGUCCCUAUGACCAACUAAUUCUUCAUUAUUUUUAUUAAAACAUUUUUUUAUUUUAGUAAAGGCGAUCAAAAAAUUUACAAGAGCAAUAAAUAUAGUACCGCAAGGGAAAGAUGAAAUAACAUGAAAUAAACUUAAGCACAAAAAAGUAGAGAUAAAACCUCAUACCUUUUGCAUCAUGGUUUAACUAGUCUACUCAAGCAAAACGAAUUUAAGUUUGACCUCCCGAAACUAGGCGAGCUACUUCAAGGCAGUUUUAUGAACUCAUCCGUCUCUGUUGCAAAAGAGUGGAAAGACCUUCAAGUAGGGGUGAUAGACCUAACGAGCCUAGUGAUAGCUGGUUACUCAAGAAAAGGAUUUUAGUCCACCCUAACGUUUUAAAAAUUUAUAUAAAAUAUUAAUUUUACUUUAGAGCUAUUCAAAUAAGGUACAGCCUAUUUGAACUAGGACACAACCUCAACUAAUGGGUAAUUUUUAUUAACUAUAACUAAGUGGGCCUAAGAGCAGCCACCUUUCAAAUAGCGUCAAAGCUUAAUUUUACUCAAUAAUAAUACCAACAUCUUUUACCAACCCUUUAUCUGUAAUGAGUACUUCCAUAAUAUUAUGGAACUUUUUAUGUUAAAACUAGUAACAAGAAUUAGACCCUCUCUUUAAUGCAAGCAUAAAUCAGAAAGGACACUCCACUGAUAAUUAACACUUAUGACCCUAAAGUAAUAACCAAACAAGAAAACAUUACUCCUUAUUAUGUUAAACUAACACAAGAGCAUUUCUAGAAAGAUUAAAAGAAAAAGAAGGAACUCGGCAAAUAUUAACCUCGCCUGUUUACCAAAAACAUCGCCUCUUGUCUAUUUAUAAGAGGUCCAGCCUGCCCAGUGACUCAAUUCAACGGCCGCGGUAUCCUAACCGUGCGAAGGUAGCGUAAUCACUUGUUCUUUAAAUGAGGACUUGUAUGAAUGGCACCACGAGGGUUUUACUGUCUCCUUUUUCUAAUCAGUGAAACUAAUCUUCCCGUGAAGAAGCGGGAAUAAACCUAUAAGACGAGAAGACCCUAUGGAGCUUUAAAUAUAUAGCAAUUGCUUAUUUUAUUUUAUAUCCCGAUAUUUAACACUUAAUUUAGCAUUAUGAACUACAAAUUUUAGGUUGGGGUGACCAUGGAGCAAAAAUUAACCUCCACAUUGAAUAAAACUUACUUUUUUAGCAAAAAGUUACCACUUUAAGCACCAACAUAUUGACAUUAAUUGACCCAAUAAUUUGAUCAAUGAACCAAGUUACCCUAGGGAUAACAGCGCAAUCUACUUCAAGAGCUCUUAUCGACAAGUAGGUUUACGACCUCGAUGUUGGAUCAGGGUGUCCCAGUGGUGCAGCCGCUACUAAAGGUUCGUUUGUUCAACGAU
RNAcentral lists this non-coding RNA (2340 nucleotides) under Crossodactylus gaudichaudii (Brazilian spinythumb frog). Its description in RNAcentral is "partial large subunit ribosomal RNA". The stretch from base 1 to 867 matches the Rfam family "Bacterial small subunit ribosomal RNA", at positions 308 to 1533 of the family's 1533-position model. The record is from RNAcentral. Lineage: Eukaryota; Metazoa; Chordata; Amphibia; Anura; Hylodidae.